GAGAUUUGUUAGGGACUCAAGCUGUUCCGUGCCUGAUUAUGUGAAAAAUAGAUGUAGUAAUAGAUGUGUAACCAGCCUGUCUUAGGUGUUUUCUAUAUCCCAGUGCUCAAGCAUCAUCUGAGAACUUCAUAAUCUCCUAUAUAUUUAGAAUUUCAAUGAAGUGGGAAAGCACCGUUAUCUCCAGAUGAGAAUGGGGGGAAAGGUUCUCAAACAAUGAAUUUGCAGGUGGGGAGGAAAGGCACAGAGAGUAAGUUGGGCAGGAGAAAGAAGUAGAUCCAGGUGUUCCUGCUCUCUCACCUUUCCCUCCCCUUGCCACUGUCAGUCAGCUAGGAGGUGAAAUCCACCCAGCACCAAGGCUCUGCAUGCCCAUGGCUCUUAGGGAAUUCAGAGCCUGACAGCAAUCCAGCACUUCUUCCUUUUCCUUUAAGUCACCUUCAGCAAACGUGACGUUUGGGCAAGCCAAAGGAAGAUCUUUUUGGAUAUUGUGUCACAUGAAGGAUGAGACAGACCCUGCUCUCAGGUGCAACCAGUCGGAGCUAGAAAAUAAAACAUAUGGGAAAAGGAUUAUGUCUGUCACACGCUGCCAAGCUGAUUUUAUACAGCAACGGCUCUACAGGGAAAGUUUCACUUCCAGUUCUCCCGGGAAGCCAAUCUGAGACUGAGAGCCAGAAAGCCUGGGUUGCACACCCCACAUCUGCAAGGCAUUUAACCUCCAGUUCCUCUUCUUCAUCUUCCAUUGAGAUCGGUCUUCAUGGGAGGUUUGAGGAUCACAAACAGGAAACGUGGAUGGAAGGCACUGUUAGCCCAAGCAGAGACAAACCCUCAGUAUAUGUGAUGUAG
This 840-nucleotide long non-coding RNA is filed under the name Numida meleagris (helmeted guineafowl). Its description in RNAcentral is "lncRNA (ENSNMEG00000012864.1)". The record is from RNAcentral. Lineage: Eukaryota; Metazoa; Chordata; Aves; Galliformes; Numididae.